UACAGAGGUCCCAAGCGUUGUUCGGAUUCACUGGGCGUAAAGGGUGCGUAGGUGGCUGGGUAAGUCUGAUGUGAAAUCUCCGAGCUUAACUCGGAAACUGCAUCGGAUACUAUUCGGCUGGAGGGUUGGAGGGGGGACUGGAAUUCUCGGUGUAGCAGUGAAAUGCGUAGAUAUCGAGAGGAACACCAGUGGCGAAGGCGAGUCCCUGGACAACUCCUGACACUGAGGCACGAAAGCUAGGGGAGCAAACAGG
Molecule: ribosomal RNA, 253 nt
Filed under: uncultured bacterium
Lineage: Bacteria
Description: partial 16S ribosomal RNA
Rfam family: Bacterial small subunit ribosomal RNA
Source: RNAcentral